GAUGAACGCUGGCGGCGUGCCUAAUACAUGCAAGUCGGGCGAACAGACGAGGAGCUUGCUCCUCUGACGUUAGCGGCGGACGGGUGAGUAACACGUGGAUAACCUACCUAUAAGACUGGGAUAACUUCGGGAAACCGGAGCUAAUACCGGAUAAUAUAUUGAACCGCAUGGUUCAAUAGUGAAAGACGGUUUUGCUGUCACUUAUAGAUGGAUCCGCGCCGCAUUAGCUAGUUGGUAAGGUAACGGCUUACCAAGGCAACGAUGCGUAGCCGACCUGAGAGGGUGAUCGGCCACACGGGAACGGAGACACGGACCAGACUCCUACGGGAGGCAGCAGUAGGGAAUCUUCCGCAAUGGGCGAAAGCCCGACGGAGCAACGCCGCGUGAGUGAUGAAGGUCUUCGGAUCGUAAAACUCUGUUAUUAGGGAAGAACAAAUGUGUAAGUAACUAUGCACGUCUUGACGGUACCUAAUCAGAAAGCCACGGCUAACUACGUG
Molecule: ribosomal RNA, 497 nt
Filed under: uncultured bacterium
Lineage: Bacteria
Description: partial 16S ribosomal RNA
Rfam family: Bacterial small subunit ribosomal RNA
Source: RNAcentral